Molecule: unclassified non-coding RNA, 313 nt
Filed under: Microsporum ferrugineum
Lineage: Eukaryota; Fungi; Ascomycota; Eurotiomycetes; Onygenales; Arthrodermataceae
Description: partial contains ITS1 and 5.8S rRNA
Source: RNAcentral
CGCACUGAACGAAGUUGGCCCCCGAAGCUCUUCCGUCUCCCCCCCGGGCCUCCCGGGGAGGUUGCGGGCGGCGAGGGGUGCCUCCGGCCGCACGCCCAUUCUUGUCUACUGACCCGGUUGCCUCGGCGGGCCGCGCCUGCUGUGCUACAGCGGCCGUUCGGGGGGGACGCCUGAGGGGGGGACUCUUGUUUCCUAGGCCACGCCCCGGGCAGCGCUCGCCGGAGGAUUACUCUGGAAAACACACUCUUGAAAGAACAUACCGUCUGAGCGAGCAACGCAAAUCAGUUAAAACUUUCAACAACGGAUCUCUUGG